UACGUAGGGCGCGAGCGUUGUCCGGAAUUAUUGGGCGUAAAGGGCUCGUAGGCGGCUUGUCGCGUCUGCUGUGAAAACGCGGGGCUCAACUCCGCGCGUGCAGUGGGUACGGGCAGGCUGGAGUGCGGCAGGGGUGGCUGGAAUUCCUGGUGUAGCGGUGGAAUGCGCAGAUAUCAGGAAGAACACCGAUGGCGAAGGCAGGCCACUGGGCCGUCACUGACGCUGAGGAGCGAAAGCGUGGGGAGCGAACAGGAUUAGAUACCCUGGUAGUCCACGCUGUAAACGUUGGGAACUAGGUGUGGGGUCUGUUCCACGGAUUCUGCGCCGGAGCUAACGCGUUAAGUUCCCCGCCUGGGGAGUACGGCCGCAAGGCUAAAACUCAAAGGAAUUGACGGGGGCCCGCACAAGCGGCGGAGCAUGCGGAUUAAUUCGAUGCAACGCGAAGAACCUUACCAAGGCUUGACAUGUGCCGGGAGGGCGCGGAGACGCGUCUGCCUUCGGGCCGGUUCACAGGUGGUGCAUGGUUGUCGUCAGCUCGUGUCGUGAGAUGUUGGGUUAAGUCCCGCAACGAGCGCAACCCUUGUCCCGUGUUGCCAGCGCGUUGUGGCGGGGACUCACGGGGGACUGCCGGGGUCAACUCGGAGGAAGGUGGGGACGACGUCAAAUCAUCAUGCCCCUUAUGCCUUGGGCUUCACGCAUGCUACAAUGGCCGGUACAGAGGGUGGCGAGGCCGUGAGGCGGAGCGAAUCUCGUAAAGCCGGUCUCAGUUCGGAUCGGGGUCUGCAACUCGGGCCCGUGAAGUCGGAGUCGCUAGUAAUCGCAGAUCAGCAACGCUGCGGUGAAUACGUUCUCGGGCCUUGUACACACCGCCCGUCACGUCACGAAAGUCGGCGACGCCCGAAGCCCGUGGCUCUGCUUGUGCGGGGAGCGGUCGAAGGCGGGGUUGGCGAUUGGGACGAAGUCGUAACAAGGUAGCCGUACCGGAAGGUGUGGCUGGAUCACCUCCUU
Molecule: ribosomal RNA, 1008 nt
Filed under: uncultured human oral bacterium A11
Lineage: Bacteria
Description: bacterial SSU rRNA
Rfam family: Bacterial small subunit ribosomal RNA
Source: RNAcentral